UGGCGGCAGGCCUAAUACAUGCAAGUCGAGCGCGCCCUUCGGGGUGAGCGGCGGACGGGUGAGUAACGCGUGGGAAUAUGCCCUUCUCUAAGGAAUAGCCUCUGGAAACGGAGAGUAAUACCUUAUACGCCCUUUGGGGGAAAGAUUUAUCGGAGAGGGAUUAGCCCGCGUUAGAUUAGGUAGUUGGUGGGGUAAUGGCCUACCAAGCCUACGAUCUAUAGCUGGUUUGAGAGGAUGAUCAGCCACACUGGGACUGAGACACGGCCCAGACUCCUACGGGAGGCAGCAGUAGGGAAUCUUAGACAAUGGGGGAAACCCUGAUCUAGCCAUGCCGCGUGUGUGAUGAAGGCCCUAGGGUCGUAAAGCACUUUCGCCAGAGAUGAUAAUGACAGUAUCUGGUAAAGAAACCCC
RNAcentral lists this ribosomal RNA (411 nucleotides) under uncultured Alphaproteobacteria bacterium. Its description in RNAcentral is "bacterial SSU rRNA". It matches the Rfam family "Bacterial small subunit ribosomal RNA", at positions 37 to 494 of the family's 1533-position model. The record is from RNAcentral. Lineage: Bacteria; Pseudomonadati; Pseudomonadota; Alphaproteobacteria.